UCUUGAAUUCCUAAGCUCAAGUGAUCCGCCCACCUCAUCCUCCCAAAGUGCUGGGAUCACAGGCAUGAGCCACGCCUGGCCUCAACACUACCUCUUGUUGGCAAUCAAUCAAUAUCUUUUAAUGUUAGAUUAUUAUUUACAGAGCCUAUUUUAGCCAUCUAGCACUUUUCUUCCUGAACAGGGCUGACAUUUAGGCUUUCUUCUGCUAAACUUAAAAAAAAAAAAUUUUGUUGAAAUAGUAAUGAGUGUAUAUCAUGGAGGUGAGAGGAUUAAUUUUAAAGCCACUGUUUCAGAGUAUGUGGGAACUUUGGCCUGGCGCUGUGUUCAGAUGUUAUAGAAUGGAUGAUACAAAACUGAAGGUAUUCUUUGCUGAAUUAUAAACCAAGAAUGAUAGUUAACUGUCCCUCAGAUCUGUACCAUCUUAACUUCUAAAUGUAAUUUUUACUGUAAAUACUUUUUAAAUAUUAGAAAGUAAUAAUUAUGCAAUUAGAAUGAUACCAGGGAGCUUUACGUUCUGCCAGGUAUAAGUGGUAACGUUUCUGAGAAUUGAAAAUUUUUAUGGAGGGAUUUGGCUUCCUGAAAACUGUGUAGGGGCAGCAAUGGCUUACACUCUUGUUAAAAGCUUGUUUAUACUGCAGAUACGAUCAGUAGAUACAGCUUCCCUGUCUAACAGGUGGCAGGUGGGGAUGGAAUUAAUUAAAGAAAUAUUCCUUGUUACAUUGGCUAGCUCACAGGCCCAAGUGUUCUUAACAGUACAGAUAAGAGAGGCUGUUUCUGGAAGCCCUGAGUUCCUUGAGACCUUUCAUUACACCUUUGAAACAUGCCCAGAAUGAAAAGAUUGAAAAAUAUAUUCAGAUGCUCAUCAUAAUCUCUGGUGAUCUGUCAAGCAGGGUAGUUUGUCAUGAUGGUAACCUUUCUGGUUUUUUUCACUUCGGUUUUUGUAUCUAAUCGGUAGGAGCAGUGACAGGGUAAGAGUCUGCACUUUAGGAUUAGAGCAGUGGUCCCGCACCUUUUGGCACCAGGGACCAGUUUCAUAGAACACAGUUUUUCCACGGAUGGGGUGGGUUGGGGAGAUGGUUUUGAGAUGAUUCAAGCACAUUACAUUUAUUAUUCACUCUAUUUCUAUUAUUACAUUGUAAUAUGUAAUAAAAUAAUUAUAUAACUCACCAUCAUGUAGAAUCAGUGGGAGCCCUGUGCUUGUUUUUCUGCAUCUAGACGGUCCCAUCUGAGGGUGAUGGGAGACAGUGACAAGUCAUUAGGUACUAGAUUCUCAUAGGAGCACACAACCUAGAUCCUUCACAUACACAGCUCACAGUAGGGUUUGUGUUCCUAUGAACACAUCUAAUGCCACUGCUGAUCUGACAGGAAGAGGAGCUCAGGCAGUAAUGCAAGCAGUGGAGAGCGCCUGUAAAUACACAUGAAGCUUUGCUCACUCACCUGCUGCUUAUCUCCUGCUGCGUAGCCUGGUUCCUAACAGGACGUGGACGGGUACUGGGGGUUGAGGACCCCUGGAUUAGAGGAUCCACGUUUUCUUUUCUGGAUGUGACCUUGAGCAAAGCAUUUUCCUUUUCUGACCCUUAAUGUUAUCACCUUUGAAAUGAAGGCUUUCAAUGGAAAUGUUCAGUGGGGAAGGAGCCUUUUCAUUUUUCCUAAGUAUUGCUUUCUUUCCUCUUCCCUCAAUAUACAUGCUGAGAAUCACUGGUGAAGUGAGUCAUUUUUACUGCAAGGGGAGGAGGGUAUAGUGGAAAGAAAGAUUGAGAACCACUCAACUCAUUUUUAGAGUCCUUUCAGCUAAUUAAACGUUCUGUGAUUCGGUAUUUUAAGUAAUUCUGAUUGAUUUUAUGCCUAAUUGUCCCACUCAGUGGAGUUCUAGUCCAGUUCUAAUGCAUGCUCGCUUCUGUGUUAUAAGAAAGUUGAAUUCUAGAUGGUUUCCAGUCUUUGUAAUCAUAAUCUAUUUCUAACAACCCAUAUAUAUACAGUUUGAACUUUGAACUUAAAAAAUCCAAAAUUUGAUUUUUUAAAUCUGAAAAACUUCUGGCCCCAAGCAUUUUGGAUAAGGCAUACUCAACCUAUAAAAAUUAAGACUUGGUUCUUGUUGAUUCCAUGGUUGGUCAUUAUGUUUACAAGGAAAUGUGUAUUAUAAAAAUGUAGCUUAAAAAGAAGAAUAUACAGUUUUUCCCUGUAGUCUUUCUUCCUGCUUCCCAGUUUCUCUACUUCUCCCUGCUCACUACUUCAUACAGUUAUGUCUCUUAAAAUUUUAAAUCUGUUAGCAUAGUUGUGUACUCGUUGCAACAUAUCCACACAUUGGGAAAAUUAAAUAUACACACAGGUAACACAAAAAGAGGCAGGAAAGUCAAUGAGCAUCAUGAACUUACUGAAGGAGUCUUCCUUUCUCAGUGACUCAUAGAAGGCUAGUUUACUCUCUAAGUUUGCUGGCUACUCCUUUCCCUGGGAAAAGGAAGUAUUAUGAUUAUUAAGUAGUAGUUAUUUUUUUGUUUAAAAUAUUCAUUUUCUUCUGUUUCUUCCUCUCUGCUAAGUUGUUGACAGUGAUAAGGGUACAAGGUAGGUAACAAUAGUGACUUUAAAAUGAGAUUUGGUGAAAGAUAGCCAAAAUCAUUUUUUUCAUCUUUACAUCUCAAAUCUGUAAAGUGUGAUUGAGGAUAAAUAUCAUUCCCAUUUAUUAAGCACUCAGUGACCAAAAAGUAAAAAAUAAUUAUUUCUCUUGUAGUAUUUCAGGAAAAUUAGAACCAGAUGCUUAAGGACUAAAAAGAAACCUUAUGGAAGAUAAAAUUAACAGUCCAGCUCUGCAUGGAGUUUGGUAUAUGAAAUGGAUCUUUUCUAUCAGCACUAUUGUAUCCUAACAUCCUAAGAUGUUUUGGUAGACACUGGCAGUACUUUUUUUGUUGUUUGUUUGUUUUUUAAGUUAAUGAAUACAAAUACAGGGAAUCUCAGGAGUUUAUGGAAUACUAGUCUUCAUUUGUCCUCUGCUCAGACACCACAGAAUUGGCUUGUUUCUGAACACCCCUUGGGGCAUAGGGAAUGCCUUUUUACUAUCAGUGUAGAGUUCUUUUUUUCCUGUGAUCCAGUUAAUGCUGUUUCUUAAUAUGUCUUCUUCCCCCAAUAUUAAAGGUCCUAUAUAUAUGUUUUUAUAAUAUUUAUAUUUGUAUGGCAUGUUACCACUUCCAGAGGAGAGCCUAGUACAGCCCUUAGAGGAUCGGAAAGGUUGCAGCUAAGUUAAGAGUUAGGGGUCAAAUAGAAUGGUCAGACCUGUAGAAUAUCUUAUGCAAAAGCCAGGAGACAAGAAAGAGACCAGCGCCCUUGAAAGCUCUGCAAGUAAUUCCAGUAUGAUUCAAGUAAUAGAGUUGAAGCGGGGGGAGCUCUGGGAUGGCAAGGGAUGGGGCCAGAAGUGUAAGCAGGAGCCAAAUCUUUAUGAAAGACCUUGUAUAUCCUACAAAGAUCUUUGGGCUUGAUCGUGAAGAAGCCAGAGAAAGCAGGGAAGUAAAAGAUCCUAUUUAAAGGAGUUUCUGGAAAUUGCCCUAUCUGCAGUUUGGUGAACAGAUUGGAGGGAAGCCAAGCUGAAGGCAGGGAAACCACACAAGAUGCUGGUGCCCUUAUCUAAAUGAGAGCUGAUGCAGCCAGUAGUCAGAGUACAGAGGUAACUGUGAAGUAAGAUUCAACAGGAUUCGAGGGACUUAGAGCAGAGGAGAAAGAAGAGGCAUAGUCAAGGAUGACUCUCAGAUUUAUGACCAAAUUAGACAUGAUAGCAGUUUGGUAAGUGAUUGUCAACAGUAGAUAAUGAAAUACCCAGAAUGAAGGUGAAAAGACUAGGUAGCUAAGGGUGGAACCCCCAAGUAGGCAGACAUUGAAGAGGACAAACAAAUUGGAGUAGAACCCUAAAUUAGAGGGAGACUGACACUAGAGAAAUGCCUUCAUUAUUGUGUUGUAUGCCAAAAGCUCAAUAUCCCUGCAGCUAGCUUCCAAAGGGGCUUUGGACAUAGGUGCAGUAUGUCGUGUGAAUGUCAACAAUGUACUUCCCCAGUGGAAGGAUGAAUUCAGUUACAUGGACUCUGCUUAUAAGCAAGGAUUGCUAAAGCUUUUGAAAAAUCCCCUCAUCUUCUCACUACCCCAUCCCUGGUAAUUUCAGGUCAGUUCCCUGGACUGACCUUACAGGGACUGAGAACACCUAUCUAUUCCUCAGACAAGAUACUUCCUACCUGAUCAGUCACACACUUACUUUAAGAGAAUUUCACUGGGUUGUAGGAUUAACAGACAGCAAUCUCACUUGCUGUGUAGUAUGCUUAGAUUUUUUUAAACAAACAGUUUAGGUAUCUAUUGCAGUUAAAACUUUAUUUUUAGCCAGCUUAUCCCAUGAAUACUAAUUUCAAUAAGCCAUUCCCCUUUGAUUUCUUCUAGUUAUGCCAUAAAUUAUAAUCCCUUCAAUCAAGAUUUAGACUUACAAUAUACAUAGCUAAUAUUUAUUCGGUAUUUGCUAUGUUCAAGCAGGAUUCUAAGCACUUUUUUGGUAAUAAUAUCAUUAAACCUCCCAGUAACCUCCCAACUUCUUUGAGUCAUGAUGUAGAAAUGUAAUGUGAGCUAUGUAUGUGAUUUUAAAUGUCCUAGUGGCCACAUUAAAAGAAGAAAAAGAAAUAGGUGAAUUUUAUCUUAAUACAUUUUUGGCCCACUAUUUCAACCUGUAAUUAUUAUUAAAUAAUUAUUAAAUAGGUAAGUAGUAAUUAUUAAAACUACUAAUGAGAUAUUUUACUUUCUUUUGAGGUACUGUUAUCUCAUUUUACUUACAAAGGGAUUGAGGCACAGAAAGGUUAAUUGAAAAGUGGUGGCAUGUCAGACACAUUCUUUCUAUGGAGCCAGAAUCCCAACAUUGCUUAGGCAUCCUUCCUCUUUACCUGUCCCAAAGUCGGUGUUAAGUGAAAAUGCAGUAGCACAGCCAAAAA
Molecule: long non-coding RNA, 4952 nt
Organism: Sapajus apella (tufted capuchin)
Lineage: Eukaryota; Metazoa; Chordata; Mammalia; Primates; Cebidae
Exons: 2
Source: RefSeq, a predicted model, not a curated record